RNAcentral lists this ribosomal RNA (462 nucleotides) under uncultured bacterium. RNAcentral describes it as "bacterial SSU rRNA". It matches the Rfam family "Bacterial small subunit ribosomal RNA", at positions 335 to 783 of the family's 1533-position model. The record is from RNAcentral.
ACUCCUACGGGAGGCAGCAGUAGGGAAUCUUCCACAAUGGACGAAAGUCUGAUGGAGCAACGCCGCGUGAACGAUGAAGGCUUUCGGGUCGUAAAGUUCUGUUGUAAGGGAAGAACAAGUGCCGCAGGCAAUGGCGGCACCUUGACGGUACCUUGCGAGAAAGCCACGGCUAACUACGUGCCAGCAGCCGCGGUAAUACGUAGGUGGCAAGCGUUGUCCGGAAUUAUUGGGCGUAAAGCGCGCGCAGGCGGCCUCUUAAGUCUGAUGUGAAACGCCCCCCGGGCUCGAACCGGGGAGGGCCAUUGGAAACUGGGAGGCUUGAGUAUAGGAGAGAAGAGUGGAAUUCCACGUGUAGCGGUGAAAUGCGUAGAGAUGUGGAGGAACACCGAGUGGCGAAGGUCGACUCUUUGGCCUAUAACUGACGCGUGAGGCGCGAAAGCGUGGGAGCAAACAGGAUUAGAU